ACAUGCAAGUCGAACGAUGAACCACUUCGGUGGGGAUUAGUGGCGAACGGGUGAGUAACACGUGGGCAAUCUGCCCUUCACUCUGGGACAAGCCCUGGAAACGGGGUCUAAUACCGGAUACCACUACCGCAGGCAUCUGUGGUGGUUGAAAGCUCCGGCGGUGAAGGAUGAGCCCGCGGCCUAUCAGCUUGUUGGUGAGGUAAUGGCUCACCAAGGCGACGACGGGUAGCCGGCCUGAGAGGGCGACCGGCCACACUGGGACUGAGACACGGCCCAGACUCCUACGGGAGGCAGCAGUGGGGAAUAUUGCACAAUGGGCGAAAGCCUGAUGCAGCGACGCCGCGUGAGGGAUGACGGCCUUCGGGUUGUAAACCUCUUUCAGCAGGGAAGAAGCGAAAGUGACGGUACCUGCAGAAGAAGCGCCGGCUAACUACGUGCCAGCAGCCGCGGUAAUACGUAGGGCGCAAGCGUUGUCCGGAAUUAUUGGGCGUAAAGAGCUCGUAGGCGGCUUGUCACGUCGGGUGUGAAAGCCCGGGGCUUAACCCCGGGUCUGCAUUCGAUACGGGCUAGCUAGAGUGUGGUAGGGGAGAUCGGAAUUCCUGGUGUAGCGGUGAAAUGCGCAGAUAUCAGGAGGAACACCGGUGGCGAAGGCGGAUCUCUGGGCCAUUACUGACGCUGAGGAGCGAAAGCGUGGGGAGCGAACAGGAUUAGAUACCCUGGUAGUCCACGCCGUAAACGGUGGGAACUAGGUGUUGGCGACAUUCCACGUCGUCGGUGCCGCAGCUAACGCAUUAAGUUCCCCGCCUGGGGAGUACGGCCGCAAGGCUAAAACUCAAAUGAAUUGACGGCGGCCCGCACAAGCAACGGAGCAGGUGGCUUAAUUCAACGCACCGCGAAGAACCUUUCCCAGGCUUGACAUAUCUCCGGAAAUGCAUCAGAGAUGGAUCGCCCCCUUGUGGUCGG
This 963-nucleotide ribosomal RNA is filed under the name Streptomyces sp. BEE12H12. RNAcentral's name for it is "bacterial SSU rRNA". It matches the Rfam family "Bacterial small subunit ribosomal RNA", at positions 53 to 1029 of the family's 1533-position model. The record is from RNAcentral. Lineage: Bacteria; Bacillati; Actinomycetota; Actinomycetes; Kitasatosporales; Streptomycetaceae.